CUGGAAACCACCAGAGGGCUGAGGGCUCUUGCGUUCAGUUCCUGCUUGUGGGUUUCCCAUUAAGGCCCCAUAGCUGGCUUGUGAAAAGAGGACGCUGAACUAGAUGGGGGGUGAGGGAGGAAUUAAUAUCCUGUUAACAUUAAGAAAGAAAAUCACAGAUCAAUACCUGAAAAGCCAUGUCCUUCCCAACAGGACUUGCAGGGUGUUAAGAUCAGCAGAGGGGUACCGACGAAAGAAGAAUAGCAGACAAAAUUAAUGGACUAUGCAGAAUAGGAUAAAAUGACAGGAAGGAUUCGAAACCUGCGGGACCAGAGAUUUACAGAAGAUUGGAAGAAAUAUACGAACUAUUUGAAGAGCAACUGUAAUCAGCAAAUUACGCUGGUAGGACUGUAAGAAGUUUUGUAAGGAGAAAUAUAUGAAAUAUUGCAAAGAAGAGAAAGAAGAGAGACAUUAGUUAUGGUAUUUAAAUGUAAUAGUGAAAGUAAGAAAUGUAAAUUAAGUGAAAAGAUCGGAAAAUGUUCAGAU
Molecule: non-coding RNA, 525 nt
Organism: Podarcis lilfordi (Lilford's wall lizard)
Lineage: Eukaryota; Metazoa; Chordata; Lepidosauria; Squamata; Lacertidae
Source: the annotation of a GenBank genome assembly